GCUGACUCUCUUUUCGGACUCAGCCCGCCUGCACCCAGGUGAAAUAAACAGCCAUGUUGCUCACACAAAGCCUGUUUGGUGGUCUCUUCACAGGGACACGGAUGAAAUUUGGUGCCGUGACUCGGAUCGGGGAACCUCCCUUAGGAGAUCAAUCCCCUGUACUCCUUUUCUUUGCCCUGUGAGAAAGAUCCACCUAUGACCUCAGGUCCUCAGACCGACCAGCCCAAGGAACAUCUCACCAAUUUUAAAUCAGACCUUGAAGAUUUGUUGUUCAAGGAGAAACUGAAGAGCAAGAAGGAAAGUGAGAGCCAGCAAUACCAGCAGAGCCAGAUCUGAGCUGGGAGAAGGGGAGAAAGUUUGUGAAGAGGAGAUCGGUGACCUGGGCUCCUUAUGUGCCUGAAAGAGUUUGAGUUUCCUGUUAACUCCAAAUCAACAGUAUUUUCAACAAGAAAUGUGCAAUUGAAAUCAAGUGCUGUUUAAGUGCAGCUAGGAUUUCCACAGGAAGACACUUGCAGUGAACAGAGUUAUGGAGCAGCAAAAACACAGAUCUAUUUGGAAAAAGAGAAAACAUAUGCGUUGUAUUUUGCUUCAAUUAUAAAAUACCAUCCUCUCAAAGGUGGUUCUAAAUUACAAAGGACUUUGAUUUCUAGGUAGAUUCUGGGUAGAGACUUCCUUUCAUAUUGAGGCAUUAAUGACACCUUUUAACCUGGGAAGCAAUAUGACUGGAGUUGUACUUUGAGAAGAUUAAUCAGGUUUGGUUGCAGAAUGAAAGAGAAGAUGAAGUCAAGAGAUUGGUUUAGAGGCUCUAGCAGAAGCUUAGUCAUAUUUCAAAAUGAUCAAAUAUCAAGAAAAAUUCUGAGCUGCAUAACUUGUAUAAAGUAAUUUUCAGUGAUUUUUUUCAUGGUUAUGAUAAAAGAACUGGAUUAGCAGAAACUUUUACCCUGAAUCAAGAUUUAAUUUUUCUUUGAGCUCAUCUUAAGGAUAUCGGAACAUAGGGAGCAAACGAUGGUGUGGCUGCCUCAGUGCUUGAUUUUUAACGGUUUUGAAGAGAAUAGUUACAUUUCUUCUCCUAGUAAGAACUAAUAAAUACAUUAACAGAAAUGAAUUCCCUAUCCCUUUGUACACUGGUCUAUUUCUUCAAAACAUUAAAUACUAUUGAUAAGAUA
This 1166-nucleotide long non-coding RNA is filed under the name Homo sapiens (human). RNAcentral describes it as "long intergenic non-protein coding RNA 2582". The record is from RNAcentral. Lineage: Eukaryota; Metazoa; Chordata; Mammalia; Primates; Hominidae.